This 301-nucleotide ribosomal RNA is filed under the name uncultured bacterium. Its description in RNAcentral is "partial 16S ribosomal RNA". It matches the Rfam family "Bacterial small subunit ribosomal RNA", at positions 509 to 807 of the family's 1533-position model. The record is from RNAcentral.
CAGCAGCCGCGGGAAUACGUAGGUGGCAAGCGUUGUCCGGAAUUAUUGAGCGUAAAGGGCUCGCAGGCGGUUUCUUAAGUCUGAUGUGAAAGCCCCCGGCUCAACCGGGGAGGGUCGUUGGAAACUGGGAAACUUGAGUGCAGAAGAGGAGAGUGGAAUUCCACGUGUAGCGGUGAAAUGCGUAGAGAUGUGGAGGAACACCAGUGGCGAAGGCGACUCUCUGGUCUGUAACUGACGCUGAGGAGCGAAAGCGUGGGGAGCGAACAGGAUUAGAUACCCCGGUAGUCCCUGUCUCUUAUAC